This is a non-coding RNA of Monodelphis domestica (gray short-tailed opossum), 898 nucleotides long. Lineage: Eukaryota; Metazoa; Chordata; Mammalia; Didelphimorphia; Didelphidae. The record is from RefSeq and is a predicted model, not a curated record.
CUUCCUGCCAGGUGGAACUUGCUGCCUGUUAUUGGAGGAGAGAGGAGCUUGUUCAGCCUGUCUGGAGUGGCAUGCUCUUCUUGGUUCAGCCUGAAGAUUCAGGCCCAUUCAUCUCUGAAGACUGCUGAGCCAGGAGUCAUGAAGAUCUUAGUUAAAUUCCACUUCAGGACAUUGAUUAGCUGUAUGACCCUAGGUCAGCAUUUCAAUGCAUCGGAAUCAUGGACAACACUUUAGAGUUGAUCAUUCUUAACCUCAUCUUCCUCAACACCUCAUCAUUGGUCACUAUUGUGUAGAUGUGGCAGAAGUGAAUCCCUGCCAGUCUUCAUAUCCAUUCUCCAUUUAUGGUGCCAUCAUAUCAGAGUUGGUGGAAAAAGCAAACACAUUUCAACAACUUCCCCUAUCUCCAAUUCAUCUUUCUAUGUGUACUCUCUUUAAAUGGUAGCCAUUGCACAUUUUAUCCAAUUCAUAUUACUAGUCCUACUAGACACAUUCGUCUCUAUCUAGCACCUUAUUGUCUUGGAUUCAGCCAUGUAUUAAGCUGCUACCCUAAAGCUAGAAUCCUACAUCAUUUUCUAGGAUUAAUAAUAAUAAUAAUAUUAAAGUUUUGUAUAGCUCUUUAAAAUUUAAAAAAUAUUUUCUUCACAAAAGCCCUAUUGCAGCUACUAUAGCUUUUCUCUGCGCUAUCAGAUGGAAUCUGUCAACAAAAUAAAAUGUUUUCCUAAAUAUAUCACUCUCCACGGUGAUACUCAUCAGACAUUGAUUCUGCUCACACAUUUAGCCUCAAGAAAUUUUCGUGAAAUUUGUUUACUUAAUAUUUCAUUACCUAGAAAACUUAAAAGUGUCUUUUGCUAGGUGAAGAAUUCACUGUUUGAAAGGGAGAAAAAAGAAUUCAUUGUUU